Molecule: small nucleolar RNA, 137 nt
Organism: Conger conger (European conger)
Lineage: Eukaryota; Metazoa; Chordata; Actinopteri; Anguilliformes; Congridae
Product: small nucleolar RNA SNORA57
Exons: 1
Source: RefSeq, a predicted model, not a curated record
CCUCCAGUUCUUGGCAUGCAUGUUGCUGUUUAGUGCUAUUGUGUGUAAUUUAUGGAGGAAUAUCAAAGCCAGUGCAAUGUCUUCGGUACCAGAGUGUUUUCCAUCCUCUGGUCCUAUCCUCAAUCACUGGUACAGAA